GAUGAACGCUGGCGGCGUGCUUAACACAUGCAAGUCGAACGGAAAGGCCCUGCUUUUGUGGGGUGCUCGAGUGGCGAACGGGUGAGUAACACGUGAGUAACCUGCCCUUGACUUUGGGAUAACUUCAGGAAACUGGGGCUAAUACCGGAUAGGAGCUCCUGAUGCAUGGUGGGGGUUGGAAAGUUUCGGCGGUUGGGGAUGGACUCGCGGCUUAUCAGCUUGUUGGUGGGGUAGUGGCUUACCAAGGCUUGGACGGGUAGCCGGCAUGAGAACGGGGCCGGCCACAUUGGGACUGAGAUACGGCGCAGACUCCUACGGGAGGCAACGGUGGGGAGUAUUACACAAUGAGCGGAAGCCUGAUACGACGGCGCCGCGUGCGGAAUGCCGGCCUUCUGGUUAUGAACCGCUUUCGCCUGUGACGAAGCGUGAGUGACGGUAAUGGAUAAAGAAGCACCGGCUAACUACGUG
This 468-nucleotide ribosomal RNA is filed under the name uncultured bacterium. Its description in RNAcentral is "partial 16S ribosomal RNA". It matches the Rfam family "Bacterial small subunit ribosomal RNA", at positions 28 to 507 of the family's 1533-position model. The record is from RNAcentral.